AUAAAAAGAGGCAGCAUAAGUGGACUUCGGUCCACGUACAGAAUUGAAGACGCAAAGCAUCAUUGUCCCCUUUCAUUAAAGCAAUCAGUUUUCUGAAAGAGCAUUGGCCGGUAAGAAAUCUACUUUAAUGAUAUCAUACAGGUUUGGCGUAAGGUCCUAUCGACCAUUAUUCAUUAAGCACAUUCUCUGGCUCCUGAGAAUUAUCAAACUCAUAAGCUUUUCCUUUAUUCCUUUUCAGCCGUGUCAUUCUCUAUCUGCCGAUCUAUCUGCCGUUUGGUUGGUGAGAGAGAGUCGUUUCAAACCCAGUAAAAUGGCGCCGUUCGCAUGACAUUUUGAACUUGCUUUCCUGUUUGCAAAUGCCAAAAGUAAUUAAUUUCCAUAUUUUGUAGUCCAACCAACGGAUUAAGAAUUUGAGAAUGAUUCUUUAAAUUUUUUUUUAAUAUUUUUAAUACUUAAUUUUUUUUAUUUAAAUAUUAAAAAUAUUAAAAAUCCUUUUAGAAUUACUCACAAAUACAUUCUAAGAGUGUGUUUAACAUUGAUCCGCGAGCUCUUACGACUUUUAUCUUGAAAAAUGUUUUUGAAAAAUAAUCACAAAAUUAUUUAUGUUUUAAAAAAAAAAUACUUGACAUAUGAUUAUUUUAAAACCACUUUAAAAGAAAACACUUUUAUUUAAAAUAUUUCAAGUAACUCAUUUUAGAGAUGGAAACUAUUUUUUUAAAAUAGUCUUUGUUUUUAAUAAUAAAAUAACCAUUUUUUACACACAAAAAAAAAUAUAUAUAUGUUUGAUAGAAAUCCUUGGGCUUUUAUCUAGAAAAAUGUUUUUGGAAAAUAAUCACAAAAUUAUUUAUGUUUUUUUUAGAGAAAUACUUGAUUUAUGAUUCUUUUAAAAACACUUUAAAAAAAAAAACGUUUUUGCUAAAAAUAUUUCAAGUAACUUAUUUUAAAGAUUGGGAACUGUUUUUUUUUAAAUAGUGUUUUCUUUAAUAAUAAAAUAACCAUUUUUUACACAAAAAAAAUAUGUUUGAUAGAAAAUACUGUUUUAAGAAAUACCUUCGUUGUUAUAUUAUUUUCACUUUUUCUUGGCUAUUUAAAAAUUUAAUUCUACGUAUAUAAAUAAUGAUUGAAAAUAAAAUACCAUAAAAGCUAUUUUUAAAAAAUAUUAUCAAAUAUAGAAAACGAAAUUAAAAUAAACUUUUAUCCCGAGUUUAAAAAUUAGUUUUGAAAACGUUCCCAAACAAGUCUUAAAAGUUAUUUUUUACAGAGUGAUUUAAAAAUCAUUUUCAGUUUUUAAAAAUAAUAAAAUUAUUUUUAAAAAUUUAUAGACUUGUUUGGCAAAUAUUUUCUAGAAACCGCUUUUAAAAACAAAAUGGAAUGAAGAAUAAUUUUUCGAAAACAAAAAAAAUAUUCUUUACAAUAAUUCUAUUGAAAGCCAUAGAUUAUGAGAUAAAAAGAGGCAGCAUAAGUGGACUUUGGUCCACGUACAGAAUUGAAGACGCAAAGCAUCAUUGUCCCCUUUCAUUAAAGCAAUCAGUUUUCUGAAAGAGGAUUGGCCUGUAAGAAAUCUACUUUAAUGAUCUCAUACAGGUUUGGCGUAAGGUCCUAUCGAUCAUUAAGCACAUUCUCUGGCUCCUGAGAAUCAUCAAACUCAUAAACUUUUCCUUUAUUCCUUUCCAGCCGUGUCAUUCUCUAUCAACCCACUAAGCUAAGCAUUUCUAUGAGAACUUGUUAUGUA
Molecule: long non-coding RNA, 1732 nt
Filed under: Vitis vinifera (wine grape)
Lineage: Eukaryota; Viridiplantae; Streptophyta; Magnoliopsida; Vitales; Vitaceae
Description: long non-coding RNA (VVIN_LNC004199)
Source: RNAcentral